This 433-nucleotide ribosomal RNA is filed under the name uncultured bacterium. RNAcentral's name for it is "bacterial SSU rRNA". It matches the Rfam family "Bacterial small subunit ribosomal RNA", at positions 29 to 507 of the family's 1533-position model. The record is from RNAcentral.
AACGAACGCUGGCGGUAUGCCUAACACAUGCAAGUCGAACGAUGCCUUCGGGCAUAGUGGCGCACGGGUGCGUAACGCGUGGGAAUCUGCCCUUGGGUUCGGAAUAACUCAGAGAAAUUUGAGCUAAUACCGGAUGAUGACGUAAGUCCAAAGAUUUAUCGCCCAAGGAUGAGCCCGCGUAAGAUUAGCUAGUUGGUGGGGUAAAGGCCUACCAAGGCGACGAUCUUUAGCUGGUCUGAGAGGAUGAUCAGCCACACUGGGACUGAGACACGGCCCAGACUCCUACGGGAGGCAGCAGUGGGGAAUAUUGGACAAUGGGCGAAAGCCUGAUCCAGCAAUGCCGCGUGAGUGAUGAAGGCCUUAGGGUUGUGAAGCUCUUUUACCAGGGAUGAUAAUGACAGUACCUGGAGAAUAAGCUCCGGCUAACUCCGUG